UGGUGGUUACUGGUGAAGCUUCCCUAUACUGGCUGCUACACAGCAAUUCAGACUGGAGAUGGAAAUGAUUUCCACCCAUUGAAACUGCAUUAUUUUGACCGUCUGCGGCAGGAGAACGUGACAGGCAUGGCUAUCUGCGAUAAUCCAGUAAUGUCACCACAAGCAGCGGCACCGUUGGUGACUUGUAGAACAACACAUGUCGCUGUGAAGCUGCCUCGUAAAACCGAACUGAGAAAAGUGAAAGAGCUUGAUUUUUUCACUAGCGAAGGAUACUCAGUGAGACAACAGAAGACCUCC
Toxotes jaculatrix (banded archerfish) is the source of this 297-nucleotide long non-coding RNA. RefSeq lists it as uncharacterized. NCBI's taxonomy places the organism in Eukaryota, Metazoa, Chordata, Actinopteri, Toxotidae. The transcript has 3 exons. The record is from RefSeq and is a predicted model, not a curated record.